RNAcentral lists this ribosomal RNA (1359 nucleotides) under Incoltorrida madagassica. RNAcentral's name for it is "16S ribosomal RNA". The stretch from base 1071 to 1229 matches the Rfam family "Archaeal large subunit ribosomal RNA", at positions 2544 to 2703 of the family's 2987-position model. Lineage: Eukaryota; Metazoa; Arthropoda; Insecta; Coleoptera; Torridincolidae. The record is from RNAcentral.
UACAUAUAUAUAUAUAUAUAUAUAUAUAUAUAUAUUAGUUUUUGAAUAAUUAAUAAAAAUAUUUUUAAUUUUAAAGUUUAAGUAUAAUUUAGAAAAAAUUUUAAUUGUUAUAGUAAAAUAGUAUUGUGAAAGAAAAUUGAAAUAUAAAUUAAUUUUUAGAAAGUAGAAUUAAUUUUUUGUACCUUGUGUAUCAGGGUUUAUUAAAUAAAUAUUAAAUAUUUAAUUUUCUCGAAUUAAAGAGAUCUAAUAAAAAAUUUUAGUUAUUGUUAUAUAAAUAUUAAAAAUUUUUUAUUAGUAAUGAAAUGUUAUUCGUUCUUUAAAAUAUCUAGUUUUUUUAGAAAUAAAUUUAAUUUAGAUGUAUUAAAAAAUAAUUUUUAUUAAUAAGAAUUAUUAAAUUAUACAUUAAUAUUUUAAGGGAUAAGCUUUAAAAUAAAAUUUUAUAAUAUAAUAAGUUAAUUUUAAUUUUGUAGAUUUAGAAAUAGUUAUCAAUAAAAGAUUGUUAUAAAUUAUUUAAUAUAAUAUUUAAUUUAUAUAAUAUUUAAAUUUUUUAUAAAAAUAAUAAUUUUAAUUUUUCAAAUUAAGUAAUAAUGAUAAAAUUAGUAUAAUUUUUUGUAAGAAAUUUUAUAAGUGAUAAUUAAUUUUAAGGAAUUAGGCAAUCUAAAUUAUUCGCCUGUUUAUCAAAAACAUGUCUUUUUGUUAAUAAUUUAAAGUCUAACCUGCCCCCUGAUUUAUUUAAUGGCCGCAGUAUUUUGACUGUGCAAAGGUAGCAUAAUAAUUAGUUUUUUAAUUGAAAGCUAGAAUGAAUGGUUGAACGAAAUAAAAUCUGUCUCAAAUUUAAAAUUUAAAAUUUAAUUUUUAAGUUAAAAAGCUUAAAUAAAUAUAAAAGACGAGAAGACCCUAUAGAGCUUUAUAUAAAUUUUAUUUAUGUAUUUAUAGAAUUUUUUUUUUGUAAUUAUUAUUUGUAUUUUAUUGGGGUGAUAGAAAAAUUUAAAUAACUUUUUUUUUUAAAAAACAUUAAUUUAUGAAAAAUUGAUCCAUUAAUUAUGAUUAAAAGAAAAAGUUACCUUAGGGAUAACAGCGUAAUUUUUUUAAAGAGUUCAUAUCGAAAAAAAAGAUUGCGACCUCGAUGUUGGAUUAAAAAUUAGUUUUGGUGUAGAAGCUAAAAUCUUUGGUCUGUUCGACCAUUAAAUUUUUACAUGAUCUGAGUUCAAACCGGUGUAAGCCAGGUUGGUUUCUAUCUUUAUAAUAUAAGAAUAUUUUAGUACGAAAGGACCAAAUAUUUGAUAUAAUAUUUAUUUUUUGAAUGUUAUUAAAUAGAAAUUAUUUUGGCAGAUUAGUGCAAUGAAUUUAGAAUUCAUA